GAGGAAGAAGGGAGAGAGCUGGGGCUUAUGAAUGUGACAUAGCAUGUGGAUUCUCCCGGCUAGAGCCAUAUUUCUUGGGUUCACCGAUCACCAGGUGCCUUGGACACAGGCCAGCAGUGCGUGACGAAAGGCAUCUGCUCUUUCCUGCACUCCUCAGUGGAAAACAUGCACUCUUUAUAUGUGACUAUCCAGAACAUAAGCUCGGUCUGCAUUUUGGACUAGGACACACUGAUGAACACCUUUGUCGUUCUAUGGAGAGAGAAAACGGCUACAUUUCGGAAGUUGGUGGACAGUGUGUCUCAGAGGCCACUGGCUACUCAUCGCUGACACUGCAAGAAGGUUCCAAUGCCACUGUGAGCUGCUCCCUCGCCCUCCUGGUGUGCACCCGUGAACUAACUCUUAAGGGAACUCUGCGUUCAGAUCUCCCACCUCUAGCUACGCCGCUCAGGAUGCAUCACAGUCGCCCUCUCCUGAGCAUCCAAUUUCUCACCUACCACUGACAAAGCACUCCAGGAAUCCUGCCCCCAAGAUGCCAGCCUUUACAUCAUCUAUGCACAGCCCCAUGACCCCAUGAGUAAGCUCCACACUAAGAAGAACUACAUUCCAGCCCCUGCCACCUUGCAGGUUAACUGUGCAGCCUCACAUGUGUUACUGACCUCUCUGAUCUUCAGUUUCGAUUUAUGAAAAGCAGACAAUAAUAAUGCCUCUGCUUUUAUUUUUAAGAAGAUCAAAUAAAAUAAUAAGUAAACACAUAUCUCUAAAACUAUAAAACUUUAUGUUUCUUUGAGAGAAUAUUAUACCUAGUAAUUAAAGUAGUAACA
This is a long non-coding RNA of Cavia porcellus (domestic guinea pig), 821 nucleotides long. RefSeq lists it as uncharacterized. The transcript is spliced from 3 exons. Lineage: Eukaryota; Metazoa; Chordata; Mammalia; Rodentia; Caviidae. The record is from RefSeq and is a predicted model, not a curated record.